GGGGAGGGGCGCGGCUGUGCGGGACGGAGCGGGGCUGGCGCUGCGGGAGUUGGGCAGAGGGCAGGGGAAGCGGCGUGGGGAGAGGAGAGAAAAAAUAAGGAGGGGAUGGGGAAAGAGAAGGGAGUGAGGAAGAAAAAAAAAAGAGGGAAAGUGAAAGGAAAAGUGGAGGGAAACGAGGAAAAAAGCCUUGCAAAAUUGAAGAAAAAAAACAACAACAAAGGAAAAGCUGACUUAUUACCCCAGUAGAAACCAAGAAGAGUAACAAAAAAGUAAGUAAAAUCAAAAGGAAAUUCAGUGCAAGUUCCAAGAGGACAGAGAGUGAAAAAGAGACAAAGCUGAACUAUAAAUAUAUGGCAAUUAGAGUUAGAAAUUUUAAAAAAGCGAUAGAAGAAAAGGCAGCACCAAUCAUAGCAGACUUCGGAGUAAAAGAACAGAAAGUGGGUUACACCACAGCUUGCAUGUGCCACCCCUCGGCCCUCCCAGCAGCGCGGCUGUGGGCUGCAUUGUGGUGUGAGAGCUGCAGGGCCCUGCUGACAGCACCCACACCGUCCCCAUGGCGUGUGCCAACACCCACUGUGCCCACGGGCCAUCCCCAUAGGGUGUGCCAACGGGCCGUGCCCACAAGCCCUGCCUAUACACCAUCCCCACAGGCCGUGCCCACAGGUCCCAAUGGCUGCGGCGCUUUCUAAGAGUUGGCGUUUUCAAGUCACUGGAAACUAAAAUUGCAGUGAGCUGAUCCGGUUGUGCCAGGGAAGGGGGAGGAAAUGGGGUUGGGAGCUGCUGAAAUAGCAGCUGCUGAGAAAGCGAUGAAGCUGAGGGCAGGAAGUUGCAGAAACCAAAAAUAAAAGCACAAAGAAACGGGCGAUCAGUUGGCCCGAAGGAGGGAAAGAGAAAGAAGGAGAGCUGACAGAAAGAAUGUGAAAUAAAAUCGUGCCUGGUUGUAGCCUGCGAUUCAGUGAUUCAUUGCUGACCUGGAAAGGCUGCAACCCCAGCUGUGCAAGAAAGUGCUUGCAAACUUGCAAGGAAAAAAAACAUUUUGGCUACGAAACGUCUAUUUGAGUAGACUUAGAGGAGAAGUCGUUCAGGGAAAGAAACAUUAGAUCUUCACUGUGCUGGGAAGGGCAGCACGCAGCCUGCUUUAUGCGUUUCAGAUGUGCCCAUCGUGCAGGAAUCCGGCCACCCGGGGAAGGCAGGAGUGAGGGUGUUGCCUGACCUGGAAGUGAGCUGAAAGAAGUGAAUGAAACCAGGCAUCUGUAAGCAAGCAAGUGUGCUCCGUGCUGCUGGGAGCCGCAGAGCCAGGCCUGGCUGCAGAGGCAAGGGCUAUUCUAAGAAUUGGUUUUAGGCAGAAAGGGGUUCCACACAGCUGCAGCAAAACUGAGGCUCUGCUAUGCAAAAGUGUUUCGUGGAAGAGCAGAGCGCUCGUGUCUCCACACAGGGAGUAGGAGGCAGAAAUUCCCCGCUGAUACAAAAGCAAGCUAUUGAAACUAAAACGCGUUGGUGAGGUGGUGCCACUUCUUAAAUAAAACAUCACAACAAGAAAUGCUGGGUGUGAACCCUGUGUCCCCAUGAACCCUCCUGCCUGUGUGCUAUUUUUGAUGUAAUAACCGACCACCCCAGUUUCAGUACAGAGAGGAGCUUAGCUUCAAAACUAACAGCGUGCAGUGCAUACUUACUGAACACGUAGCAAAAUGCGUAGUUCCCUUCUUCUCCAGCCGAGCAGCAGACAGGUGAGGGUAUACAGACUCACAUCUGCACACCUGCUUUACUGAACCAGCACAAUUCAAGAAGGCUCUGCUUUGAUGACAGAAGUUUAAGCACAAUACAUCGAGACCAAGACCGCUGGAGUCUGAUGGAACAAAGACACCUACAGAGUAGAAGAGAAGAGAGGCCAAAACAUUUGUAGAGAAAGCCACAUGUAUAUGCAUGCUCACACUGCAAGAAUCAGGUGAUUCCUGUACCUGAAGCCUUCUUUCUGAGGGAGUCAGCAGAGCCUCUGCUGAACCUGAGCUGACUGGGAACAGCUGUAACCUAAAACACUUGGAGCAGAAAUCCCCAGGAGCUAUGCUAGGCACCUGAGCUUCCUAGGGGAGCGCAGCUUACAUGAGGCUGCAACUUGAACAAGAACUACCUGUCUGUGACUCAACACUCAACACUCGCAACAAGAUAAAGCCUGUGGGUGGACAGUGCGUACAAAUGAGUUUAGAGAACUUCUACUUGUGCUCGACACUAUGGGUAAAUCAGGGAGAGACUGUGAGAGUACUGCUAUCAGCUUUUCACAGUAGUUCAGGUGAACUGGUUUCAUGAACCUGAUGCAGAAUAUGAGAGGGAGAAUUCAGAAGCUGAAGAUAAUGCACAACAGCAUAGAUCCCUUAUGACUCAGAUCUGCAGUGCUCUGCCCAUGUACUAACCACUAAUGAGCUUCUAGACUCUUGACUUUAUAGCAGAUGUUAAGCUAUGAAGUCUAAUUAUACAAGAUCUGGUAACUCCAGAUCUCUGGAGAUUAUCUGGUGUAACCCCUUGCUUAGAGAGAAGGAUCAGCUAGAACAGGGUGCCCAUGGCUGUGUCCAGUCACGUUUACAGUAACUCCAAGGGCAGAGACUCCACUGCCUCUCUGGGCAGCCUGCUUCAGUGUCCGACCACCACCAGAGUCAGAAGUCUUUUUGUUUUUAAAAAGAACCUCAUGUAAUCAGCACAGGUUAACAUACAUCUUGUACAUUCACAGGAGGCCACUGAAGAGUUCAGCUGCCUCUUCCCUCACUCACCCCAACUUUAGGUAUUUAGAUGAAUUAAUAGGUUCUCUCUGCACCUUCUCUCCUCUAGGAUGAAGAGUCCCAACUCUCUCAGCCACUCAUAUGACAAACAUUCCAGUCCCUUAAUCAUCUUUGUGGCUUUUGCUGGACUUGCUCCACUGAUCCUUCACCUAUCCUCCUAUCCUCCACCUAUCCUUCCUGUACUGUGGAGUCCAGAGCUGGUUCUAACACUCCAGAUGCAUCUUUCCAGUGCUGAGCAGAGGGGAAUGAUCACCGCCCUCAACCACCUGACAACACCACAUUAUAGCAGUCCAGGAUGCCGUUGGGUCUUCUUCGUUACGGGGCCACAUUGCUAGUUCGCAUUCAAGCUGGUGUUCUCCAGGACUUCCAGGUUCUUUUCUGUAAUGUUACUUUCCAACUAUUUGGUCCCCAGCUUAGGGGGAACUUACUUGUAUUCAUCAGUGUAUGGGAGUAUUACUCCCAAGUGGAGGAUUUAGCAUCUCCCUUUGUUAAACUCUACAAGAUUCAUCUUGGCUGAUUUGUCCAGUCUGUUCAGAUCCCUCUGAAUGGUAGCACAACCAUCUCCACAUACCAGCCCUCUCAGUCUGCAAUUGUCUGCAGACUUGCUGAGAGUGCACUCUGGCCCAUCAUCAAGGACUAUUAAUGAAGAUGUUAAAUGGCAUUGGCCCCAAUAUUAACCUUGUGCCACUGAUUACCAUCUUCUGUGCCUGGCAUUUCAAUCAGUUUUCAGUUCACUUCACUGUCCGCUUGUCCCGUCAUCAUCUUGUUAAUGAAGAUGCAAUGACAGCACUGAAAGCCUUGCUAAAGCAAGAUGAUUAACACCCACUUCUCCCUCCUCAACCAUCAAUCUAAUCGCUUCAUCACAGAAGGCUAUCAGGUCUGUCAGGCAUGAUUUUCCCUUCAUACGUCCACAGUGACAACUCCCACUCCUCUUUGGGUCCUUAAUAUAUUUUGAAAUUGGUUCCAGAAUUCCUUCAUUAUUAAAAAGGGGGGCCUUUCAGUAUCUGAUGGGGUGGGGAGGCAUAAGAAAGGAGACAGACUCCUGAGAUGGGACAAGGGGAAAUGAUUUCAAACUAAUAGAGGGGAGAUUUCAACUGGAUAUAAGGAAUAAGUUUUUUUUUUUUUUUUUUUUUUUUUUUAAACAGUAAGGAUGGUGAGGCACUGGCACAGGUUGCCCAGAGAGCUGGUGGAUACCCCACCUCCAGAGACACUCGAGGUCAGGCUGGAGGGACUCUGAGCACCUGAUGGAGCUGUAGGUGUCCCUCAUCACUGCAGGGGAAUUGGACCUGCUGACCUUUAAGGGUCCUUUCCAACUCGAACAGUUCUAUGACUAUUUGCUCCAUCACCUUCCUAGGUGUUGAGGUGAUGCUGACUGGCCUUGUAAUUACUCACAUUCUCAUUCUUCUUGAUGUUAAGUCUGACGCUUACUUUCUUCCAGACCUCAGAAACCUCCUCUGAUACUGUGACCUUUCAAAGAUACUUGAGUGUCCUUGAAAUGGUGUCUGUCCUCAGCACGUGUGGAUGUAGCCCAUUGGUUCCCAUGGACUUGCUCUUGUCCAAUUUAUUUAAAUGUUCUGAUAAUCUCUACUGAGAGAAAGUCUUCAUUGCUCCAGAUGCUCCCGCUGGUAUCAGAGGUGUGGAAUUUCUGAAAUCAAGUCUUACCAGUAAAGACAAAAGGGAAGAACACACUGAGUUCCUCUGCCUUCUAUGUCCUUUGCUACUACCAUCCCAUUCAGCAACGGGCUCAAACUUUCCCUAGCCUUCCUUUUGCUGCUGAUACACUUGAGCAAGUCCUGACAGUUCAGUGUUACUCAGUUCCUUUUUUUUUUUGCUGAACUUCCUCAAUGGUCUGUUCCACUAGUGAAGUUCCCAGAAAGAGAGAGAAGAUGCUGUUGUCUCCUUUUUAACAAAUAGAUUGCCAAUUUGGAUAUAUUUACUAUGACACACUCAAAUGCAAUCCCUUUUUCUAAGAGGAAUCCAAACCUCUUAUCAAUCCAGGUAAAUUCAGUAACCGUAAAUCUAAAACAACUUCUCCUUUUUAUUCAAAGUAUGAAAAUAUUUAUUAGAGCACAAAGAGGAGUCUAGGUCUUGGUCUUCCUCAUUCCUUUCCCCACAGAUGAGUACUAUUACUAACAGAGCAGCUUCUCUUAAAUUCUCAUUGCAACCCGUUGAACAUUCACUCAUUUGUAUAAAGUCCAACAGUUAGACUAUGCUCCCCUUGCACUUAGCACUUGAUCUGACAAUCUGAAGUCUUCAGAAAGACAAAGUUCUAGAAGUAUAUUGAUUUUAAUUUUUACUCAGGCAUGGAUGUUGAACAUAAUUCUCAGCCUACCUCCAAAACAGAGUGAUCCAACCGCUGCCUUCCGAAGUGAGUCCUUAAGGCAACAGUAGUUGUAUUGGUGGUUAAACUCAGCAUUUAUCUUUAACCUUUAGUUCCACUUUCUGCUUUUAUAGCCAUGAGAACUGCAAGAGAGGACAUGACAGACACCGUAAAGUAGGAAUGAGCAAAAGGCAAGCCAAGAAUCUUGACUUUAAAAGCAAAAGUUACUGGAGACUCCAAGUCAGAGUAUAUUUUAUUCCUCUAGGAAAACAUGUUUAGACAUAAUAAUUGGACACAAAAUAAAGCAUGAACAGUGCUAGAGAUCAUUUUAAAUUGAAGUUGACUUCAUCUUGUUUUUUAAUAAACAAUACCAUGGAUUUUGAAAGGUUGUUAAUGCCUUAAAUAUAACAACAUAACAAUGCUGUAACGCAACAAGUCUUGGAUAGUAAUCUCAUGUUUUAACCCAAUAUCUAACUGAAAAUACAGCUACUUCAUCCAUUUCAUUACACCGUAUUUUAGCUCCUUCCUCUUAUUGCUAUUAUCCUGAACUGAGAACAAAACUUCUUCAAAUUUAGUUUGAAAAAAUAACUCUGGAAAUUAAAUCGACAAACAAUUUUUUGGCAAAACAUACAUCUCUCUGUCCUUAGAAGCACCCAAACAGUGAUGGAAUGAAGCACUUCAAACUGUUUCUGCAAAGAGGUUUUUCCACUAAUAAUAAAAUGUCGAUUUUGCAAUUUGA
Long non-coding RNA from Gallus gallus (chicken), 5830 nucleotides. RefSeq lists it as uncharacterized. The record is from RefSeq and is a predicted model, not a curated record. The transcript has 3 exons. Lineage: Eukaryota; Metazoa; Chordata; Aves; Galliformes; Phasianidae.